This 705-nucleotide ribosomal RNA is filed under the name uncultured Geothrix sp. RNAcentral describes it as "bacterial SSU rRNA". It matches the Rfam family "Bacterial small subunit ribosomal RNA", at positions 77 to 763 of the family's 1533-position model. The record is from RNAcentral. Lineage: Bacteria; Pseudomonadati; Acidobacteriota; Holophagae; Holophagales; Holophagaceae.
GGAUGUGCCGCAAGGUGCAUGGCAGACGGGUGAGUAACGCGUAGGGAAUCUACCUCUUUGUGGGGAAUAACGCUCCGAAAGGAGUGGUAAUACCGCAUGAGACCGUGGACUGGGAUGUUUACGGUGAAACCUGGGGACCGCAAGGCCUGGGGCAAGGAGAGGAUCCUGCGUCUGAUUAGCUAGUUGGCGGGGUAAUGGCCCACCAAGGCGACGAUCAGUAGCCGGCCUGAGAGGGUGAUCGGCCACACUGGAACUGAGACACGGUCCAGACUCCUACGGGAGGCAGCAGUGGGGAAUUUUGCGCAAUGGACGAAAGUCUGACGCAGCAACGCCGCGUGGGUGAUGAAGGUCUUCGGACUGUAAAACCCUGUCGUCAGGGACGAAGGUUGGGGGGUUAAUAACCCUUCAGCUUGACGGUACCUGGAGAGGAAGCCCCGGCUAACUCUGUGCCAGCAGCCGCGGUAAUACAGAGGGGGCAAGCGUUAUUCGGAAUUAUUGGGCGUAAAGGGCGCGUAGGCGGUUUUUUAAGUCAGAUGUGUAAUCCCCGAGCUCAACUUGGGAACUGCAUCUGAGACUGGAAGGCUAGAGUACUGGAGAGGGUGGUGGAAUUCCUCGUGUAGCGGUGAAAUGCGUAGAGAUGAGGAGGAACACCAGUGGCGAAGGCGGCCACCUGGACAGUAACUGACGCUGAGGCGCGAAAGUGUG